RNAcentral lists this ribosomal RNA (274 nucleotides) under uncultured bacterium. RNAcentral describes it as "partial 16S ribosomal RNA". It matches the Rfam family "Bacterial small subunit ribosomal RNA", at positions 523 to 796 of the family's 1533-position model. The record is from RNAcentral.
AUACGGAGGGGGUUAGCGUUGUUCGGAAUUACUGGGCGUAAAGCGCACGUAGGCGGACUGGAAAGUUGGGGGUGAAAUCCCGGGGCUCAACCCCGGAACUGCCUCCAAAACUUCCAAUCUAGAGAUCGAGAGAGGUGAGUGGAAUUCCAAGUGUAGAGGUGAAAUUCGUAGAUAUUUGGAGGAACACCAGUGGCGAAGGCGGCUCACUGGCUCGAUUCUGACGCUGAGGUGCGAAAGCGUGGGGAGCAAACAGGAUUAGAAACCCUAGUAGUCC